Mirounga angustirostris (Northern elephant seal) is the source of this 2108-nucleotide long non-coding RNA. RefSeq lists it as uncharacterized. The record is from RefSeq and is a predicted model, not a curated record. The transcript is spliced from 3 exons. Lineage: Eukaryota; Metazoa; Chordata; Mammalia; Carnivora; Phocidae.
GCACCCGCGGAGGCCGGCCGGUCUAAUCCCGGGAGAGAGCGCAACACCCCAGGCAACCACCACAAAGGGCGGCCUUCCUGGGACCGCCGCCUGGCGGCUGGCGAGCGAACUGUGGCCUCGGAAAGGUGGACCUAAGGGCCGCGGGUGAGGGGGCAGAUGUGGGUGGGUGCCCAACCUUCAGGGCAAGUCAGCCGACUUCCCUCCGCUCUGCCGGAGCUCCAGCCCCAGCAGAGCCCUCAGCCACCCCGGCUGCCCGAGAGCGUCUUCGCCUCCCUUCAGCCGCGGCGCAGACACCCAACCGGCCCACGGAGCCCGCCGUCCUCCCCUCAUGCCCGAAUCGGGGACUCCUUCAGCUUCUACUUUGUUACCAGGACUUCCUACCGCCCUCAGGCUUGGGAGCGCCUCCUCGACCCCCACCCCCCACCCCCCAACCGCUUUCUUGAGUCCCUAGCCCCACUCACCUCGACAGCGCGGCAGCCAGGCGCCUUCUUAAGCUUCUUCAGCUUCCAGCUUGGCUAUCCCGGGGGACUUACUGCCAAUCACCCAAUCUCCGCCCCAAAUCCGGACCAGACUGACCAAUCAGCUGCUUCCUCCGGCCCGGAGGCCGGUACUGAGAGCCCGGAGGGAAGGAAGACGACACCGAUACUCCUAGCCAUACUAUAUGCCAUCUCACAGAGGGCCUAUGGAUGUGUCUCAUGGCACCUGGCACCAGAAGUAUGUGGCUGGUGGAGGAGAAAGGGUGCAAAAUGUGUUGAGCCAGAAAGUAGGGGAAGAUCUUCCAGUCAUCAUACUUGACAUUAUAAUCAGGAUCCAAUCCAAGAUGCCACAUUGCAUUUAAUCAUCAUGCCUCCUUGCUUAGACUCCUGGUCUGUGACAGUUUCUUAGUAUUUCCUUGUUUUUCAUAAUCUUGAUAUGACCAUGACAGUUUUGAGGAGUGUGGUCAGAUAUAUUAUAAAAUAGGCCUUGAUUUUGAAUUUGUCUGCUAUUUUUCUCAUGAUUAGACUGGGGUUCUAAGGUUUGGGAGAAUAUCACACAUUGAGAUGCCCUUUUCAUCACAUCAUUUCAGGGGGUACAUAAUAUUAGCAUGAUUUAUUUCUGCUGAUGUUAACUUGACCAUGGUAAUGUUUGCUAGUUUCUCCACUGUAAAGUUGCAUUUUUUACCCUCUUUCCAUAUUCUCUUCUUUGGAAGCAAGUCACUAAAUGCUACCCACCCUCAAGUGUCAUAAGAGAUUAAGCUUCAACUCUUGGAGAGGAAUAUCUACAUAAAUAACUUAUAAUUCUUCUCUAAGUAAGAUUUGUUUCUUCUGCCCAUUUACUUAUUUAUAUUCAUUUAUUCAUAAAGUAUCAUGUAUAUUUAUUUUAUAUUUUGUUUAUAUUUUAUAUAUACAACCUCUCAGUGGGCAAAGCUAGGAAUAUAUUAUCACAUUGUUUUUUAAUUCUUUGUUUACAUCUCUAUGAUAGGUAACCUCUAAAACGGCCCCCAAUGAUCCUUGCCUCCUGGUAUUCACACCCUUAUGCAAUCCCCUGUUAAAGAGGGUGGGUUUGACCUAGUGACCUCCUUCUAAUGAAUCAAAUACAAGAGUGAUAGGAUGGCAAUUAAAAGAUUAGGUUAAAAAGAGUGUGGCUUUCAUCUUGCUUGGUCUCUCUUGGUCUCUCCUUUGCUCUCUCUGAGAGAAGCCAUCUGCCAUAUUGUGAGCUGCCCUAUGGACAGACUUAUGUGGCAAGAAACUGAGGGAGGCCUCUGGCCAUCAGCCAGCAAGCAGCUGAGGCCCUCUUUUCAUCAGCCUCUGAGAAACUGAAUCCUGCUAACAGACAUGUGAGUGAACUUGGCAAAAGAUCCUCUCCCAGUUGAGCCUUGAGAUGACAGGAGCUCCAUUGAUACCUUGAUUGCAGUCUUGUGAAAGACCCUGAACCAGAGACCCUGAGCUAAGGCACACAUGGAUUCUGCAUGCACAGAAACUAUGAGAUAAUAAACGAUUAUUGUGUUAAGCUGCUAAGUUUUGGAGUGAUUCAUUAGGAAGCAAUAAAUCAUACAAUUUCCGUCUUCUCUGCAAGAUUGAUGGUUCUGAAACUCCACUUUGGAGAGUAUGUUUAAAAAUAUAUAUACC